UGAGGAAUAUUGCGCAAUGGGCGAAAGCCUGACGCAGCAACGCCGCGUGCGGGAUGAAGGCUCUUCGAGUUGUAAACCGCUGUAGCAGGGAAAAAAGAUGCCCUUAUUGGGUAGUGAUGGUACCCUGAAAGUAAGCCUCGGCUAACUACGUGCCAGCAGCCGCGGUAAUACGUAGGAGGCAAGCGUUGUCCGGAUUUACUGGGUGUAAAGGGUCCGCAGGCGGGCUCGUAAGUCGGUGGUGAAAUCCUCCAGCUCAACUGGAGAGCUGCCUCCGAUACUGCGGGUCUUGAAUCGAGGAGAGGGGGACGGAAUUCCAGGUGUAGCGGUGAAAUGCUUAGAUAUCUGGAAGAACACCGGUGGCGAAGGCUGUUCCCUGGCCUCCGAUUGACGCUCAUGGACG
This 400-nucleotide ribosomal RNA is filed under the name uncultured bacterium. RNAcentral's name for it is "bacterial SSU rRNA". It matches the Rfam family "Bacterial small subunit ribosomal RNA", at positions 355 to 755 of the family's 1533-position model. The record is from RNAcentral.